AGGGCACCACAAGGGGUGGAGCCUGCGGCUUAAUUUGACUCAACACGGGGAAACUCACCAGGUCCAGACACAACUAGGAUUGACAGAUUGAGAGCUCUUUCUUGAUUUUGUGGGUGGUGGUGCAUGGCCGUUCUUAGUUGGUGGAGUGAUUUGUCUGCUUAAUUGCGAUAACGAACGAGACCUUAACCUGCUAAAUAGCCCGUACCGCUCAGGCGGUACGCUGGCUUCUUAGAGGGACUAUCGGCUCAAGCCGAUGGAAGUUUGAGGCA
RNAcentral lists this ribosomal RNA (269 nucleotides) under uncultured eukaryote. RNAcentral describes it as "partial small subunit ribosomal RNA". It matches the Rfam family "Eukaryotic small subunit ribosomal RNA", at positions 1161 to 1452 of the family's 1831-position model. The record is from RNAcentral.